Molecule: ribosomal RNA, 253 nt
Filed under: uncultured bacterium
Lineage: Bacteria
Description: partial 16S ribosomal RNA
Rfam family: Bacterial small subunit ribosomal RNA
Source: RNAcentral
UACGUAGGGUGCAAGCGAUAAUCGGAAUUACUGGGCGUAAAGCGUGCGCAGGCGGUUUUGUAAGUCUGACGUGAAAUCCCCGGGCUCAACCUGGGAAUUGCGUUGGAGACUGCAAGGCUAGAAUCUGGCAGAGGGGGGUAGAAUUCCACGUGUAGCAGUGAAAUGCGUAGAGAUGUGGAGGAACACCGAUGGCGAAGGCAGCCCCCUGGGUCAAGAUUGACGCUCAUGCACGAAAGCGUGGGGAGCAAACAGG